GGGCAACGCUGGCGGCGUGCCUAACACAUGCAAGUCGGACGACAGGCGAGGAAUCCGCAAGGAGGAAUCGUGCUGAGUGGCGAACGGGUGAGUAGCACAUGGGGACAUACCCUCAAGAGUGGGAUAGCGUUUCGAAAGGGACGGUAAUACCGCAUACGCUCGGGAGAGGAAAGGUGCGAUUGUACCGCUUGAGGAGUGACUCAUGACCCAUCAGUUAGUUGGUGAGGUAAAGGCCCACCAAGGCUAUGACGGGUAGCUGGUCUGAGAGGAUGGUCAGCCACACUGGGACUGAGACACGGCCCAGACUCCUACGGGAGGCAGCAGUGGGGAAUUUUUCCCAAUGGGCGAAAGCCUGAGGGAGCGACGCCGCGUGGAGGAAGGAAUCUUUCGAGAUGUAAACUCCUGUUGUAAGGGAGCAAGGGUAUAUGGAGUGGAAAGUCAUAUACUCAGAUAGUACCUUACGAGGAAGCCCCGGCUAACUACGUGCCAGCAGCCGCGGUAAUACGUAGGGGGCGAGCGUUGUCCGGAGUUACUGGGCGUAAAGGGUGCGUAGGUGGCCGAUAAAGUCAAGUGUGAAAUUCCACGGCUCAACUGUGGGGAGAGCGUUUGAAACUAAUCGGCUUGAGGUCAGGUCAGGGAGAUGGAAUUGUCAGUGUAGGGGUG
Molecule: ribosomal RNA, 663 nt
Filed under: uncultured Pseudomonadota bacterium
Lineage: Bacteria; Pseudomonadati; Pseudomonadota
Description: bacterial SSU rRNA
Rfam family: Bacterial small subunit ribosomal RNA
Source: RNAcentral